Molecule: long non-coding RNA, 3405 nt
Organism: Phyllostomus hastatus (greater spear-nosed bat)
Lineage: Eukaryota; Metazoa; Chordata; Mammalia; Chiroptera; Phyllostomidae
Exons: 4
Source: RefSeq, a predicted model, not a curated record
UGUACCAGGAUUCCCAGCUGAUGGACAGGGACCCCUGAGGCUCCCGGAGGUUAAGCAAGGUACCUGGGUGACAUGAUGGACCCUCCCUCCAUCCAGCUUGACUUGAGGACCCUCCUGGGGCUCCUCCACCUUCUCCCUGGGAACCCAUCAACCUCUCCUCUAACUGGCACCAUCACCCCAGCAUCUGUGAAGGGACCCACACAUUGGGCCACCACCCUGCCAGGUCCAUAGGCCCCUCAGCUGAGGCCUGCCCAGAGCCAAGUCCCUCCUCCUCGCCAACCUGCUGCUCCUGCACUGUCUCCAUCAGCAGUGUCCACUCCAGACGCUCAGGCCAGGAGUGGGGCUGUGCUUUCUCCCCUCAUGCAUCCUGCCUGGCUACCAGGCUUCACACUGGCAGGUGAUGCAGCCCCCUUCCCCCACGUCUCCUGGCAGCUGUCUCCUUAAGCAGGAGCAGGUCCUCAUCCAGGGAGCCCUGCCUGCCAGAGCUCUAAGCACAGGGCCCUGCUCAGUGGUAGCUCACAGACCCAGCAGGAUUUCACACUGAGGAGGAAAGAGAGAGCAUUCGCACUGCUGAAGAGAACAGCAGUCACAGCAGAAGGAGCAGCUCAGGCAUGAGCAUCAAGCAAAAUACGCAUGGACAGGAUUUUCUCUAGUUCAAGGACAAACUCCGGGCUCUGCUAACCCACUGGGGAGGCUCCUUGGGGACAGCUAGGGCUUGGACCAGGAGGCCUCUACUGCAGGAGGGAAGGCCAGGGCCCUGUACCAGUGAGGGCUUGGACCUGUCCUAUAGGUGAAGAGGACUCGGGCAGGAGCCACAGCUGGGUUUGUGUUUAGGAAAGCAUGUCCAGCAACAGAAUGUCCAGGCAAUGGUGAUGCAGUGUGAACCGGUGAAGAAAUGGGGGAGUAAGCUACUGAGGUGUGCCAGAGAAGAGCUGGAAGCAGUAUUGGGGGGAGGGGCAGGGGUAUCUGGAGGCAGCUUGUAGCACCAAAAACGGGAUCAGGCUGGGCCCAGGGGCGGGCCAGCAAGGGUGUUGCUGCCAAUGUACUGUGGCCUGCUGUCUGCUACAGCCCACCCAGAGAGCGGGGGAAAAAGGGUCAACUGAUCUGACUGGGUGGGUAGGUGGGCAGAAAAGGUACACACUCUGGUGCAGGAAGCUGAAUGGAGCCACAGCAAUUGUGAGAUUAACCGUGUUGAUUCUUCAGGUAAGGAAGGAAGCAGUCCCCAACAUCCCAGAGCUGGUCUUAUCAGCUAGGCCCUGGUGUCACUGGGAACCGGCCUGUCACUCUCAGAUACAGUGUUUUCCGGUUUAGAAUACAAACAUCAUACAACACCAGCAUCAGACAACGCCCCUGUGUGAGCUGUCAAGACCAGACCACUCUGACGUCUGAACAGAGAAAACACGAGCCCUGCCCAAGCCAAUAAGACCGACGGCGCCUGCCCUAACUAAUCUGAGUGCCGUAGCCUCUUCAGACAGUUUCAGCCUGCCUCUUGUCUGUCCUCCUUCCGGAGACGUGUCAAGAUACCCAGUCACAGAAUGACUCCCCUUCCUGACAGCAUCCAACCCAGAGCAAAUCCCUGCUUCCUUAAGCCCUCUGCAGUUCACCCACACAAGCCAAACCCUAGUGAGACGUUUUAGCACCCAUUCCUGAGAUUCCCUGCAGACCCCACGACUCACAGCUUCUGUCACCACACUCAGCAGUAGCCCGACCUGUUCAACCACCAGCGUGUCCAGGCCGGGCGGGGAGGAGGGGACUUCUGCUGGAGGGGAUUAAUACAGCUAGCUGUCCACAAGGCCAAAGAAGGCUUGUUUAUUCUUUCACCAAAAGUGUUUAUUUGAAGACAUAAUCAUUAAAUCCAUCCUUGUUUUCAAGAUUAACGACACAAAGACCCACACCCCCUCACACUCCCCGGCCUGCAGAGCAGCACUGUCUUCAGCACCACUGAUGGGUGCUGAUGCGGCAGCCAGGACCCCAGCUCACAGAACACCCAGCGCAGGUGCCCGGUGCCACUUGCCCAGGGCUACCGUUGAGUGUCUCCGAACUAGAAGUGCCUUCAGAAGAGGAACUGUGACGUGCGCGUUUCAGCAUCCAGACCAGCUCCUCACCCAGGGCCAGGCACACCGUCGGCCUCAACUGUGGUGUGAGUGGCACCAGCUGAACAAGCACUAGCUGUCCCAGGGCCAGGGCCAGAACGCUGUGGACUUUGGCACAGCGCUGGUGGAGGUGUUUCAGGAGUGGGACAGCAAAACUAAAAGCCCAGGAGAACCAUGGCGGCACAUCUGUGAGGACCAGGUUUCCUGCCAGGCAUCAUCGUGUCAGGGAGGCACUCCAACACUCUGCACUAAGGAGUGUGAACCCCUCUCGCUCUGCCCUCUAUCCGCUCAAUUCCUCCUCAUGUGUCACCACUGCUGUCACCCAGCCAGAAAGUCAGCUCCAUGGCAGCAGGGCCUUUGCUGUGUUCCCUGCAGGGGUAGAAGAUGGUGCUCGGUGCCUGCUAUGGAGCAAACGGCCAAAUGCAGUCCUGAGAGUCGUCAUGAGAGGGUGUCAGCACCCUGUGCUGAAGAGUGGGGAACUGAGGCGCACGGGGGAUCAUCCGGCUGUACGUGGCUGAGUGGGGGCCUUCGCUCAGGCUCAUCAGAUCCCAGGCCGCCCCAGUCUCUAUGCCCUGUCUCCCCUGAGACUGUGUGAUAGCCCCUGGGCACGAAACGAGGCUGGGGAGCCUGUCCUGCACUGGGCAGCUCCCAGCCAUGUAAAUGGAACAGAGAGACGAGAGGUUCCCUGCUUGUCCCCUGCUGUCCUCCAGGACCUGCAAUGAUGCCUGGCGUUUGGCAGGCCUUAGAGAUCUAUGGGCUCACAAGAAGAUGCAUUUAGCUCCUGCUCUGUGCCAGACACUGCCCUCAUUGUUCUGCACACACUGCCUCUCUGAGCCUCCAGAGUAAGAAGGAGGAGCAUUGCUACCCCACACGGCAGGUGAAGGAACAGGGGCCUGCCCUGGGCCACACGACAAAGCUGCAGCAAGGUGUGUGACUACGCUGGUGCUACUGACAGAGGUCCUGAGGGCACAUCUCAGGAGCCGGGGUCUGGGGAAGGAAUAGGAGUCAACUGAGGGUCAGGGUUGGGGGCAACACAGGUCUGAGGUGGGGCCUUGGGGUUGAGGACCUGGAACCCCAACCACAUGCCUCCUGUGCCCCGUGCUCAUCCAUCUCCCCUUCCUUGGGGCCGGCCACUCUGCCCUCCAUGGCUCUCAAUGCCUAGUCUUUAUGUGGGUCUCCCAGCCCUCUCCAUCCUUGCCACCCUCCAAAUAACACUUUGCAAAAAGCAGAGAGGAAUUAACUACACAGAGAAGUUGUCCACAGUCCAGAGCUGAAAGAGCCCUUCUGGUCUCUGCCCUGGCCACUAGUCCCU